AGGACGAACGCUGGCGGCGUGCUUAACACAUGCAAGUCGAACGGAAAGGCCCUUUCGGGGGUACUCGAGUGGCGAACGGGUGAGUAACACGUGGGUGAUCUGCCCUGCACUUUGGGAUAAGCCUGGGAAACUGGGUCUAAUACCGAAUACACCCUGCUGGUCGCAUGGCCUGGUGGGGGAAAGCUUUUGCGGUGUGGGAUGGGCCCGCGGCCUAUCAGCUUGUUGGUGGGGUGAUGGCCUACCAAGGCGACGACGGGUAGCCGGCCUGAGAGGGUGUCCGGCCACACUGGGACUGAGAUACGGCCCAGACUCCUACGGGAGGCAGCAGUGGGGAAUAUUGCACAAUGGGCGCAAGCCUGAUGCAGCGACGCCGCGUGGGGGAUGACGGCCUGCGGGUUGUAAAGCACUUUUAGUGGGGACAAAAAAGCUACGGAUUAAUACUCUGUGGUCUUGAUUUAACCCAAAGAAAAGCACCGGCUAACUCUGUGCCAGCAGCCGCGGUAA
RNAcentral lists this ribosomal RNA (504 nucleotides) under uncultured bacterium. Its description in RNAcentral is "SSU rRNA". It matches the Rfam family "Bacterial small subunit ribosomal RNA", at positions 26 to 523 of the family's 1533-position model. The record is from RNAcentral.